Molecule: long non-coding RNA, 2716 nt
Organism: Acanthochromis polyacanthus (spiny chromis)
Lineage: Eukaryota; Metazoa; Chordata; Actinopteri; Pomacentridae
Exons: 2
Source: RefSeq, a predicted model, not a curated record
GAAAAGAAAGAAAGACAUUCAAAGGAGUGAUGGCUGGGAUUUUAGCAGCCAGGCUGCUGCUGCCGAAUGGAUGUAGAGGGAACCCUGCAAUAACGUAGUGGGUUUAGUAAAAUUGCUUGUUGGCAUGGUGCGCCUUUAAACAGGUCAGGUCGCGCUCCUGACGUCAUCUGAUGCGCGUGAAGCAUGCAUAUGUGACUGACAGGAGCAAACAUGUCCUCACUGAUAUGGAUGUUCUUCUCAGUUGCAGCGGAUGACAAGAGCAUUGCCGUUUGUAAAGCGUGUUCAUCAAGGAUUCUGAGAGGAGGGAAGAACGCGACAGGUUUUAACACAACAAAUCUUAUCUCUCAUCUGAAAAGUCGUCAUCGUGGCGAAGCUAUUUUACAAGAAUAUGAAGCAUCCACAGCAGCUACUAUCACCAAGGCUAAAACAACACUGAGCGUGGUUGUCAAAAUUCAGCAGACAUUUGAAAACUGUAAAAAAAAAAAUUCCCAGAGACAGCAAAAAGGCUGAAGCUAUAAAUGACAGACUCAUGGAAUUCAUAGCGCUUGAUGACCAGCCUUUUCAGUCAUAGAGGAUCCGGGUUUUCGCAAGCUAAUUGCGCAUUUGGAACCGCGUUACACCAUCCCAAGCCGCCGCUUCUUCUCAGAUGUGUCCCUGCCUGCCUUGUAUGAUUUGGUCGCCAUACACAUUCAUAAUAUGAUUGACAAGAAUGGACUAAACAUAAGUUUCAACAAGGAUAUAUGGACAUCUGAUGUGAGUCUGGUCAGUAUGCUCAGCUGAACGGCUAAGUGGUUAGAUGAAGAUUUUCACCUGCAAAAAGUGUUGCUGCACGCACAGGAGUGCUCUGGGUCGCACACAGCAACGAUGAUAGGUCAAGCUUUUGAAACCAUGCUUGUAAAGUGGAAUAUAACAAAAGACAAAGUGCAUGUUGUGCUCAGGGAUAACACACGCAAUAUGACCAAGGCUAUGGAGGACCGUGGGCUUGCAAGCUUAGGCUGGAUGGCACACACUUUACGGCUCGCUGUAAACGAGGCUGUGCUGAGCCAGAGCAGGAAAAUAGUUGGUCACUUCAAGAACUCUCAAUUUGCCACCCCAUCUGAAAGAUUUACAGACACAACUAGGCACAAAAGACACAAGACUUCAACAAGACGUGCCCACCAGGUGGAACAGCACGUUUUACAUGCUGAGAAGUUUGUCAGAGCAGAGGCGAGCCUUGCAGCUUAUGCAGUAGAUUUCGAGUUACCUGUGUUUCUGAGCACAUAUCAAUGGACUUUAAUUGAGAACUUGGUAACUAUACUUGACCCAUGUGAACAGCUGACAAAAGACAUCAGCUCAGCUACAGCCACAGCAGCUGAUGUGAUCCCCUCUAUUGAAGCCCUAAAACGUCUGUUAAACAAGACUGUUGUAACAGAUCAUGGAAUUAAAACUUCAAAGAGCACCUUACUGCAAGCCAUAGAGCAGCGAAUCAGUCACAUCUGUACAGAGCCUCUGUUCUAUCUUGCUGCAAUCUUGAACCCCAGAUGGACUGCCAUUUUAACUAAGCAACGAAAAGGGAAGCAACAGAAAUUCUGCGUGCCAAGGUGAGUGUUGGAGAAAAUGUGGAUGAGCCAAAAAGGAAGAAGUCCUAGGCGGAUGACAACAACAAUGCUACGAUGUCACAUUAGAGCUUACACAAAGCCAAGCAGAAGGACAGAUAAAAGAAUAUCUGUCAAAGCCCCCGAUUCCCAGAACUGAGAGCCCGUGGUAUACUGGAGAAGCAACAAAUCCCGGUUCCCUAGCAUUGCCUCACUUGUACAGAAAUACCUGUCAGCCCCUUGUACAAGUAUAGACAGUGAAUGCUUGUUUUCUGCUGCCGCAAAUGUUAUUGAUGAAAGAAGAAACAGAAUUGGGUGUGAGAAGGCAGAGAUGCUACUCUUUAUCAAGAAAAAUCUUCCACUGAUGCCCUCACAUAAAUGGAAAAGACAAAUAAAAGGACAUUGGACAAAGUGAAAAGAGAAAAGAUGUUAAGUUGAAAUUGAAAAAUUUACAUUUUUUAAAUUUUUAUUUUCAGCUAACAUUUCAGAGAAAUCUGUACUCUAUUCUAUGCAGCUAAAACAGCAAUAAGUCUGCAAAUGCUUUUUGUUGAGAGAUGCACUUUAUUUUCAUGUUUUUGGAUUUAUGGAGUUGAGGUUGACAUAUGUCAAUGCAUUUAAUUUAUUUCAUAGUUGAAAAAUAUGUGACUCAAAAACUACUUCAUCCUCAGGCUCUAAAGGUUGUAUUAUUUUGUUAUGUAUAAAAUGCUUGAAUAUAAAUUUUGUUAUUUCCAGAUAAACAAGUCACAGUUCUGUGAAACCCUUUUCUCGAAAGAUGCAAUUUUUGCUUUAGUUGGAAUUUGAUCUCAGUACAUUUGAUACACAUACAUUUUCAUUUACAGCAACUGACCAAAGGCAUAAGGUUUUAGUUUUGAAAAGUGUAGCAGCCUGUGUAAACAAUCACAGAAGAUUUUAUUUAGACUUAUUUUUGUUUGAGAAAAUGCACUGUGCUAUUCAUUUUAGCUGUUUGAUAUUUUCGCAAAAAUACAAAGGUUGUGCAACAAAAUAUUAAGUUAUGGGUACCAUCAUUUUUGUCCAGCCCUAUUUCAUUAGUUUGUUUUUUUAAAUAAUUAUGUUAAUCAACAAUUCAAAAGUAAUGGCUGUUUUUGAUUAUUUAAUUUUCAAUAAAUUUUUAUUUAUUGUUA